RNAcentral lists this ribosomal RNA (772 nucleotides) under Salmonella enterica. RNAcentral's name for it is "partial 23S ribosomal RNA". It matches the Rfam family "Bacterial large subunit ribosomal RNA", at positions 2029 to 2800 of the family's 2925-position model. The record is from RNAcentral. Lineage: Bacteria; Pseudomonadati; Pseudomonadota; Gammaproteobacteria; Enterobacterales; Enterobacteriaceae.
AGACUCAGUGAAAUUGAACUCGCUGUGAAGAUGCAGUGUACCCGCGGCAAGACGGAAAGACCCCGUGAACCUUUACUAUAGCUUGACACUGAACAUUGAGCCUUGAUGUGUAGGAUAGGUGGGAGGCUUUGAAGCGUGGACGCCAGUCUGCGUGGAGCCGACCUUGAAAUACCACCCUUUAAUGUUUGAUGUUCUAACGUGGACCCGUAAUCCGGGUUGCGGACAGUGUCUGGUGGGUAGUUUGACUGGGGCGGUCUCCUCCUAAAGAGUAACGGAGGAGCACGAAGGUUGGCUAAUCCUGGUCGGACAUCAGGAGGUUAGUGCAAUGGCAUAAGCCAGCUUGACUGCGAGCGUGACGGCGCGAGCAGGUGCGAAAGCAGGUCAUAGUGAUCCGGUGGUUCUGAAUGGAAGGGCCAUCGCUCAACGGAUAAAAGGUACUCCGGGGAUAACAGGCUGAUACCGCCCAAGAGUUCAUAUCGACGGCGGUGUUUGGCACCUCGAUGUCGGCUCAUCACAUCCUGGGGCUGAAGUAGGUCCCAAGGGUAUGGCUGUUCGCCAUUUAAAGUGGUACGCGAGCUGGGUUUAGAACGUCGUGAGACAGUUCGGUCCCUAUCUGCCGUGGGCGCUGGAAGACUGAGGGGGGCUGCUCCUAGUACGAGAGGACCGGAGUGGACGCAUCACUGGUGUUCGGGUUGUCAUGCCAAUGGCACUGCCCGGUAGCUAAAUGCGGAAAAGAUAAGUGCUGAAAGCAUCUAAGCACGAAACUUGCCCC